RNAcentral lists this ribosomal RNA (305 nucleotides) under uncultured Acidobacteriota bacterium. RNAcentral describes it as "bacterial SSU rRNA". It matches the Rfam family "Bacterial small subunit ribosomal RNA", at positions 55 to 357 of the family's 1533-position model. Lineage: Bacteria; Pseudomonadati; Acidobacteriota. The record is from RNAcentral.
AUGCAAGUCGAACGAGAAAGUCGGGGCAACUUGGUGAUUCCUUGGCAGACGGGUGAGUAACACGUGAACAAUCUUAAAAGUGUGGGGAAUAACGCCGCGAAAGCGGCGCUAAUACCGCAUAACGUUCCGAGAUCGCAUGGUCAUGGAACUCUUCUGCGGAAGUCGCUCGAGGAGGAGUUCGCGCCUGAUUAGCUAGUUGGUGAGGUAACGGCCCACCAAGGCAACGAUCAGUAGCCGGCCUGAGAGGGCGUACGGCCACACUGGAACUGAGACACGGUCCAGACUCCUACGGGAGGCAGCAGUGG